UUAUAUGCAGGUCUAGAGUUGGCUUGAUCGUAUUUCAAGGUGAAAUCACCUUUUGAGAAUCUCAUUGAUAACCAUAGAACCUUAUGCAACUAGGAGUAUGAUAGAUAUCAUGUGUGUAAGACUAACUGAUGUCAUAACUUUGAUAGGAAUUAUUGAUAAUUGCAUAGAAAGAUUCUAGCUUACCACUUAUUGUUCUUUUCUUCGGACUCCACGGUUCCAUUCCCCCGUACCGAUAAAUUUUCAUGUGAAGAUCAACUAAUGAUCGAGCAUACCGCUUCCUACGUUUGAUUGCAUUAGCUUCUUCGUAUACUCUUAUGAUGUUUGUGACAAGAAACAGCAAAUGCAUGCUUUCCCCGCCAAAGAUACCUGCAAAAUAGAUAACAUUGAUUAUCGGCUAUACAGUACAGUUUAUAAUAAAGGAAAAAGAAAAAAAUCCAAGCUGUUAAUUAAACAAGAAUGUACCCACCUUUCAAGCAUUAGCAAUGGAUCAACAAUAAGCUCCAUUUUGCCAUCAAUCCAAAUGCUAUACUUAGCUUUCGGAAAUAGCCUAUGAGUUAAGAUCUUAGGAAUCUUUCCAUUCCAUCUAGGCUCAUCGUAGGGCAAAUGAUGCAAUGUCGCAAGGCACCAAAUACCCACCCAUUUCCCAUCAUCACUGUCUUCUCUCACGCUAAUGUUUUGCUUGAUGAAAUGAAGUGAUUUCUCAUUCACCACCAUGAGAAGGCAGAAAAGCUUUUUCGAACGAAACCUUAUGUUCGGGGUUGAUGAGGUAUGUCGUACCCAUCGAAGAUGCCAGAGGCGACCACAAAUUGACAUUUUCGAGCGUAUUUUACAUCGAUGUCGUCCAUUUCUACACCAGCAUUUCUCAUAAACCCACAGUGUACCUAAAGGCCAUUAGAAGAACACGCAACCAGUUGCUAAUGUGACCAAAAAUGAAAGGAAGAAUUGCAAGUCGGCAUGCCUUUAUCAUUUAUUCUACAUAGAUGAGACAACAAAGUGAUUGACGACCUUGGCAAAUAAAAACAUAUUAACGAGAAGGUUUCUUGAAUAGAAGUAUCAUUUAGAUAUCUUACAUUCAUCGUAAUCUUCAAAUUAAAGCUCUCCUCUCUUUCUUUCCAGCUCUGAUGUCCUCCGAACACUGGGAAGGACUGCGUCCCCUUAUUUCCUUGCUCAUCAACAAAUAUAUAUGAUAAGCUUUUUGGAAUUAUAUUUCGUGUCCUCUUCGGAAUAACUAUAGCAUCUGGAUCAUCAGCGAGAGAGAUUGGGCAACAUGAUUGAAAAGACCCUCAGUAUUUUCUUUUUUUCUUUUGGUUUUGGAAAGAUCACCAAAAUUAUCUGAUGUUGUGAUGCAACAAGCAAUUAUACACUUACGGUGCAGUGGUUUUGGUGCGGCAUGCGUCGUGUCUAAUGUUACAAGAACUUAGUUUUCUUUUCUACAAAGAGCUGCAGACGAAAAGCAUUCAAUUGCUAACCGAGACGGAUUAGACCACAAGAAACUUACUACAACUGCCGUUGCAUUAUUGCCAAAACUAAAGAUGGUAUUGAAGUAAAAUUUCUCUCUCAAACUCCUAAAUCAGGAUUAUUAAGCCUCUCCAUAUUGUCGAAACUUAUGAAGUUUCUCUUAAUACUAUUUAAUUUCAUUCUCUUCCUAGUUCCGUAGACAAGUAUGAAUCAAGCAGUGAAAGAAUCUAAAAUGCUAGGGCGUUGCCUAAAUCUUCGACAAGAACAUGUUAGCUGAAUCAUCAAAAUAACAUGACGAAAACGAUGUUAAGAGAGGAACAACGCCACAAAAUUGUUUUGAACUGCAACAACUAUUCGAUGUACAUAAAAGAUUAAUAGAAACAAUCAAAAGGGAAAAUAUUGUGCCAUCGAGUAUACCUGCGAGGUAGCCGAUCAAAGAAUGGCAAGACCACAAAUGGAGCAGCGAUGCGGCGAGAAUGAGCAUCGCCACCCAAACAACAGUCGAGGUGAAACCAAAACGAAUGAAACCCUUCCUCCGAACCAUUCGAAAGGGAUCUCCCCACGCUCUCCCAGGUGGAAAAGAAUCACCUUCCUCAUCUGAAUCAAAAGAAAAAGCCCAUAUAUGAUCCGUUUCACCAAUAAAUCGUACCAAAGAAGCUAAGUUUGCUUAAUUCUCACCAUUGGUGUGAGAGCCCUCACGGCUCCAAUCUCCUCCUCUACGCGAUGCUCGAAAGGAGAGCGAAACUUGAUGGGUUUCCACCUCCAUUACAACGAAUUUACGAUCCAACCCUAUGAGAAUGAUCGAUUUGGGGAGAGAAUGAUACAGAAAACCAAUGAAAGAUCGUCCUUUUAUCGCAAGAACAGAUCAAAAAUGGAUUAUAACAGCGUUCUCGAAGCAAUACCUCAAUCUUUGUUGCGUUUCUCGAUCGAAAUUGGAGGCCAUACGCAAUUCCAUUAGGGUUUUACGAAGAAAAUGGGGGAGAUCGAAGAAGAGGAAGAAGCAAGAGGGUAGAGAGACUGAGAUGAUUCGGAUGUAUAAAACCGCGGGAAGGUUCGGAUCCGAGACAAUUGAAGUGAUGAAAUGGGCCGGGUCCAGGCCCAAUAUCAACCCAAAAUAAAUAAAAGCAAUGUAAGAUUUGGUUGUUCAAUCUUAAACUUUUCAAAUUUUCAAUAUUAAUUUUAAAGUUCACAAUUGUUCAGGUAACAUCUAUAUACGCUUUUACUUCGGCAUGUGGUUAAAUCUCUUUAUAAAGCAGAUUGCUACUUUUGAUUCAGUUUAAACGAAACGUAACGUAGAAUAUCAACCUGUAGAUUAAAAGAUGCAAACACCUCCCAAGUAACUCAAAAGCAAAACAAGCAGCUCUUUAUAUAUGAACAUCUUUUGGUAAUCAAGAUCUCUCAUGUACACACACUGCUUGGAACAAAGAGUUUCUACUCCUCCGCAUUUUCGAAGCUGGAAAAUUUCGGACUCCGACGCCACACCAAACUUCAAAAAAUGUGACAACCAUCAAUUGAUCAGCUAGCCCUCUACACGCAAAUCGACGGCGGUCGGAGAAGUUGGUUGUUUACUGCAGCCAUCUCCAGCCUCUCCCAUCUCACCUCCCUUUUGCUCGCUUCGCACCCGAUCGCGGAUUCUCUCUGAUUGAUCUCUUCGAGGCACUUUGCGUAGAGCUCGGGCUCCAUCUCCUCCAACAUGUUCUUUACACUCGUCGUCAGCUGCCGCACCGACUUGCUCCAGUGCGUCUUGAGGUUCUUCUCGAUGCUGUCGACCGUCGGGGGCAGGAUCUCUUGCAUCAGACACGACGCCAUCUUCACGAAUUGCUCAUUGUUCCAUACAUAAAGGGCCCUUUCUGCCACCUGCAAAAGCACAAAAAAUAGAGGGAAAAAAUUUAAAUACUUUGAUUUGAGAUUUUUUCUUAGGUGAUCAAAUCUUGUUCAUGUAAGUUUUGAAACUCUGCUAGUCUUUCCCUCCUCCAAAGAUAAAAGACAUCUUUGAAUCACUUCGGUUUAUUUAUCUUAUACUCGUUCACCACUCAAAAUCCAUCUGCAGUUACUUAUUCCACCGUUCAUCCAUCCAUCGCAUCUCAUACUCUACCCAACUCAAAUCAAAUGUGCUCUAAGAUCCGUGCAAAUUCGAUGGUGCCGGUUCUCAACCAGGUUUUGUCCCCAGCCGGAACUACUAUUAGAUCGACCAAAUAGGAAAUAGUCCAGGAUCAGUCUUAACAUCCUCAGAAGGAUGCAAUGUUUGCGUGUCUAAAAUCAAAUACCCCUGCAAACUUAGAAAAAUUUUAGAAUGCAUCAGUUAUAUUUGAUGACGUGACAUUCUCAACCAGCAAAAUGAUUCGUUUUGAAUGUAUCCAUCACAUUCACACCGUGAUUAUAAAAAAAAUAUUUUUAUUGUAAUUUUAAAAAAUAUAUAUGAUUAGCUUAUUUCUGGUGAUGAAAAUAAUGCAGUGCAAGUGGAAUACAGUAGAUUUUCUCGAGCGUGAACCUGAGAGUUGCAGCUGGUGGAGCACCGGGCGAUCUGCGCGCAGAGCGGCGGGGCGAGCUUGCGGAACAGCGGCAGGUCGAGCAGGUCGAGCAGCUCCUCGAGCUCCCCGAUCAUCAGCACCUCCUUGUGGGAGCUGGUGCGGGGCCAGCAGCGGAGCAGGCCCCUCGCCACCGCGUCGGCGAGCGCGGGCUCCUUGCGCACGAACUGCAUCACGCAGUAGCUGAGCUGGCGGUGGUACGCCCCCAUCCCCUUGGGGCGGUGCAGCGGCACCAGCACCCGCCGCAGGAGCGCCCGGUGCUCCUCCUUCAGCGGCACCGCGAACCCGUCGAUCACGCUCGCCCAUAUCUCCAGCAGCUCCCCGACCCCGCACUGCCGCUCCGCCAGCAGCGCGUCGCGCAUCGACCGCCGCAUGAACGCGCCCUUCAGCCGGUGGCGCUCCCGCAGGUCAUCGGGUCCUCUGACUCGAACAGCGUCGCCAACCCGGACAGGAACCCGCGCCCGGCGUGCUCGCGGAGGGCGGCCUGCUCCGCGCUCGACACCGCCGCCGACAGGAUGUCGUAGGCGAUGCUGAGGUGCGGCCACGGCGGCGCGAGGGACGCGACGGGGGAGUCGUCGUCGACGAGGAGGGAUUCGGGAGGGUGGGGGCAGCAGGGGGAGGCGGGGGGCGGGAGCGGGCGGAAGAGGUUGGCGGACAGCAGGGCGAAGAGCGGGCGGAGGAUUCCGGGGGGGAGCGGCCGCCGGGCGGAGCGGACGGCGGAGAGCACGCGGAGGAGCCGCGCGCGCUGGGCGUCGCGGUCGGACGGCGACUCCGACGGGUCGGUGAACGUGAACACGCGGCUGCCGCAGAGCGAGAUCGCUUCUACGAGCUCUUCCGCGUUCGACUCCGGCGAAGAAGGCGGCCGCGGCAGCGCGCACGCGAAGCCGCCGUCGCCGUCGCCGUCGCCGGCGCCGGCCUUGGAGUCGAGAUCGAAGAGGUGUUUGAGAGUGGUGGACUUCCGCUUGGGCCGGAGCUUCGGCGAGUUCGCCGAAGCGCCCAUCUCUCUCUCUCUCUCUAUCUCUCUCUCGGAAGAGAAUGGAGGAGAAGGAAGAUCAGGGCGGAAUUUGGACAAUUUGUAAUUGACAAAUUUGAGAAAAAUGUCUCGGUGGUCCUUGUCCUGUUGCGAUAUGGCUACUUGGUCCCUCUCUAUCUCUCUCUCCCUCUGUUUUCCUCUCAAACUAUGAAAUAAUUAUGCCUAAGUGCCUAACUUAUUUUAGUUAAUAAACGUUUAGAGUUGCGGUUUAUAGUUCUUAAUAAAAGAUUUAGAAGUUAUUUUACGAAAUGAGUAUUUUGUUCUUUCUAUUUUAUAGCAAAAUUUAAAAUAAAGUGUUAAAAAAACAAAAAAGAGUGCAAAAAUGAACUCGCAAUAUCAGAAAAUUACAGGGACGAUCCGUGCAAUUUUUUUUUUUAAAAAAAAAGGCUUUGUAAUUUGUAUAGGAUAUAGUGAAAAUUGGCAGGUGAUGAUGAGGGAGGAAGAGUCCAAAAGGUGGGGCGAUGUUUUCGGUGGGAAAGAAAAGGGCAGCUUGUGAAUGGGUUGUUAAUUGCACUCAAAGUCCCAUAUUUUACCAAAUUUUCAUUUUACUCCCUAUUUUUUUUUUUUUUCAUUUUGAUUCUUAACUUGUAGAGUUAGUUGCGCUAAUGGUACCCACCCUUUUGCCCUUCUUUUCCUUCAUGUGCACCCCCAUGGUAUCAAACUCAAGCUCACCACUUUCUCCUCUGCACCUUCGACCAUCUUGACCCCGUAUAUAAUAUCUACCGUUUCUUUUGGAGCAUUCGACGAUCGGAUACUUUGAUAGACCAGGAAUUGUUAUAAUCAGUAACUACAUCUUAUAUGAGUAGUACUCAGGAUAUUAUUAAAGUUGGCAUGACUGAUUCGAUUAAACUUAAUAGUGUUUACAGACAUAACUGAAAAGAAAUAUAAUUAGAAACUGAAGUUAAAAAACAAAAAAAAAAAAAUGGAUAAAGGUUAGGGGCCAUCAUGCAAUAAACGCUUUGUAAAUUCCGACCGUUGAGGGAUGUUCCUGCUUUCCAACGAGAGGAGCACAUGGUCAACAACAUCUUUGGGCUCCUUUUGGCUAUUUUGGCUUUUUGAUGCAGCUAAAAUUGGUUUGGAUUGGUGUGUUUGGACACAUAGCAGUUGAAUAUACGGCUGGAGAUUAAGAAAGGGUUAAAAAAGAUAUCUGCGUAAGAUUCUCUUCAUGUAAUUUUAAUUAUUUUUUUUAAGACAAUAUGGUACCAGAGUCAGCUUCUGCAGCAGUUUUAAAGAAAUUUUGAAUUUAAUUUCUUUGUCAUCUUCUCGUUAUCCCUCUUCUAUCAAUUAACAUUAUAUGAUAUAUCUAAUUUUCAUCGUAUAAAUUAGUUGAUGUGUUAAGAUUAUUUCCGAAUCAUUUUCUUUUUUUUGUAUCUAUGUUAUUUUUUUUCUUCCCUUGUUAUCUCUAUUAAUGUACGUAAUAUAUAUAUAAUUCAUCUGAAAUAUUUCUGCAUUAAAAGAAAAGAAAAGAAAAUUCUUCACAUUGGGGUUAGGCAGGAUGAUGAAGGCUCCAACUGAAAUGCCAGUUUCUCUUAUCUACUUUGCGGAUAAUGGGGAGUGAUUGAAUAAUACUUUAUUGCAUUAUAUAUAUACACCUGAAAAGGACCCUUUUAGUGUUCACCAUGUGGAUCAUCAUAAGCUGAGAAACUAUUUCGCCAUGUAAUUAAAAGGCCUAUAUAUAUAUAUACUUAUGAUGCCACGUGCAUCUCUUUUAGUGCAUGAUCUCUACAACUUAUACACUCUAAAAAGUAACAACAAAGUGUUUGGCAAAGAGAAGGUCUAAAAUUUACACUGCAACAAGAAAUAAAAUAAAAUCCUAGACUCUGAAAACAAAAGCUCGACUUGUAAUUUUAACUUUUUAAGACAACUCUACUCAAACAGUACAAAGAUUCACUGCCGAUGGAGCACUACUAGAGAAGUGAUAAAAAGAAACAUAAAGAGAAGAACAUGCCCCAUUCCUCGCAUUUUGUCGCUCUAUUCAUAGUUUGGCACAUAACAGCAGAAUAUAUAUAUAUUAUAUAUAUAUAAAAGGAAAACAGAGAUCCAAAGAAAGCUGAUAGAUGGUCAAGUUGAUUUGCUCUCACAUAGAUUUGUAUUCAAUUGCCCAUUGAAAACAAUUAUCAGAAACAAUGAUCAUAAUGUAACAGCAACAAGUCAAACAUGGAGAUAUUUCAUGAUUUGAUCAAAGAGAUGAUGAUACUCAUUGAAGGCAAUGCGUGAUAAAAUCACAUGUUUGCUAAGCUAACAGAGAACAGUUCAGAUGGCUGCUGUAACAGUCAAAACCUUGCGCUGAAGACAUCAAGAUGCAUAACAGUUUCAUAAAGAAGAGUUCAAAUGAUAGUAUAGUAUUACGAUCCGAGUUUGAACAAGACCAAACUAGUAGGAAACUAGGUUUUCACUGGUGACCUACUCUUAUCUACAAAACUUGAAAUAUGGUCAUCAACAACUUUUGAAUGAUGUUCUCUGUCAUCAAUGAUACACUAAUCAAAGUUCUAAAAGAUAGUAGGUGGCUGAAGAGCGGCUGAUGACUUGGUCAGCAUCCACUGAUUGCAGUAGCAAAAACAAGAAGAUGAUUUCAAAUAAGUUUACAAAGAGAAAUAGCUUAUCAAAAUGCACCAAAGCCGGCCAAACAAAACGAUAACUAAAUAGUCAAUAUCACUAUACUAACCAAAAAGAGGCUAAGUGCCGGCCGAGAAACUCGUCCUCUAAAACAUUUACUCUCGAAAACCAUUUUUAAACAGCAAAAGAGAAAAAAAAAUUGCACCUCAUCCAAAAAAAUAUGCUAUCAUAGAAUCACAAAAGAAAACACAAGAAAAAAUAAAAAGAAAUUUUAUAAGUCAACCUAACAUUCAACCAAAUCAAACAAGAAUCUCGUCCUCAUACGUAAGAAUAUUUUUAAUAAUUUACCAUCCACCCUCUUUGAAAAGCAAAGCCACAAAAAAUCCGACAGGUACUUCAGUUCUAUGCUAAUUAUAUUAUAUUUGAGAUAAUUACCGCAAGAUGCAAGGACUUUUUUCAUGAUGAAUUAAUACCUAUCAAAACAUAGAGAAACUCAGGAUGACCUCCACAGAGUGGAAAAAAAGAUUGAAUUUCCCAUGCAAGCAAUUUCAGUAACUUUCCACUAGAAAUAUUUCUACGUAAUAAGAAAACAAAGCAAGUUUGCUCUACCAGAGUUAUAUGUCAGAAACAAGCAUCUUCUCUAUCAAAGUAUUGCUUAACAUAAGUUUCCUGCGCUUUUCAUUAUUUUGACUAUUUUUUUUACAAAAUGGACAUGCACUAGAAUAAUCAAUACUGCAAGCAAGAAGAAAGUACUACUAAAGUUGUUAUACAUAGAACUUUUACAGGACGUGGAAUGGUGGAAGGCAAAAAAGAUAGUAACACGACCAUUAAGAUUGUAGGUCUUUCUCUAACAAUGUGACCAACUAGAAAAUUCAAUAGUCCAUGCCUUGUGUAGGUAUUUUGUGAGCUCCAGAUAUAAAUUUAGUCAUUGGAUAUUGAUUGAAUACAGAAUUCACUUAAAUAUCUACACGGAAAUGUGCCCAAAAAGUCUAAAUAUUGCAUAUUUCCUCUCUCACAAGCAUACAAGCUACAUGCCGGUAAGUUAUAAUAUUUUAACAUCAAACAGGUAGAUACAUUAAUGCCGCAAAGGUACACUACCAUUAUCCAUUUCUUACAGAAAAAUUUUAUUUUAGUGAGGUGUCCAAGUAAAGAAAAAUGCUUCCUUUGGAAAAAAAAAAAAAAAACAAAGGUGAAAUGCAACACCUAGAGGCUGGACAAGAAUUUCAGGUCGAAAUAAGACAUGCAUACAGACGGAAUAUAGAUUAGCUUAAUGUGGGUAUCCACCAAAGGCCAAAGCUAUUAAUCCAAUCACCAUAGUAAAUUAACUCAAAACAGCUUAAAACACAUUUUUCACUAACAACGAAAUAGUAUAUUUACAUCACAACUUCUAAGUUUUAUCUCUGUAAGUAAUUCAUAUGUCAAUUUGGGGGAUUGCAAACACAUCCAAACCCAAAAGAAGCACUAUAAGUUACAAAAAAAUAACUUUAUUUGUAAAUUCAGUUAUAAUUAGAGCAACAAACAGCAAUGACAAUUAACAUCAUAGAAAACUACAAUUAGUACCACAUUGUAUUGUUAUCCGAUCGGCUAACGAAUCCUCUCUCCACCAUCAUCUCAACAAGCUCUUCAUGCUUCCUCAGCUGCCCCGCCUUCCUCAACAGUUCUAACACCAUCUCAUACACUGGCCUUGUCGGUUUCAAACCCUUCUCCCCCACCAUCUCCCUCAUCGUCGCAUACGCCCUCCUCCAAUUCCCCCUCCCACAGAAUGCCGUCGCCAGUGCCGCGUACGUGUUCACGUUCGGCUCCACCCCCUCCGCCUCCAUCUCCUUCCUCAUCCUCACAACCAUAUCCAUCGACUUCUCCUCAUUGAACAGCUGCAUUAGAAGGUUAUACGUCACAGUGUUCAGCGGGCAAUGUAGCUCCCGCAUUCUAUCAUACAACUUGUGGGCAGCGUUCACAUUUCCAGUGUUCCGCAAGCAGCGGAAUAUGGGAUUGAACGAGUGGCAAUUCGGCGAGCACCCUUUAGCCACCAUCUGAUUGAGGACUUUAAGGGCGGCAUCGAGGUUCUUCUGGCCUUUUCCACAGUGCGUCUCGAUGAGGAAGUUGUAGGUUAUAAUGUCGGGCUCGCACCCGAGCUGCUUCAUCUGGUUCCGGACCUGCAGAACCUGCUCGGCGCGCCCGGCUUUGACAUGAGCGCGCAUAAAAUUGUUGAAUGUCGCGGUGUUGGGCGCGCAACCAGCGUCAAUCAUUUGGCAGAGCAGCUCGUGGGCGCGCGGCAAUUGGCCGGCCCUGCACAUGGCGUCGAUCACGAUGGUGUAGGUAUACACAUUAGGGGUUAUGCCGAGCUGGCGCAUCUCGGCGAAGACCCGCUCGGCCUCAUCGAGCCGGGCGGCGCGGCACCAGGCGUGGACGAGGACCGAGUAGAGAACCACAUCGGGCGGGAACUGCGAUUUGAACGAAUCGAACAGGGACUGGGCUUCGCCGGCGAGCCGCUUCUUGGCGAGCGCGGCGAGGAGCGACGCGAGGGAGGCGGGGUCGGGCGCGACGCCGUAGUCCGGCAUGCCGCGGAACGCGGCGACGGCGUCCUCGGGGAGCCCGGCGCGGAUGUAGCGGCGGAUGAGGGCCGCGAAAGUUUGAGGCAAAAUUGGGACUUUUGAGCCGCGCAUUUCGUCGAGCAGGUGGCGGGCGAGGUCGCAGUGGCGGAGCUUGCCGGAGAGGUCGAUCAUGGCGGUGAAGGGCUCGGAGAGGGAGUCGGGGGAGGGGUGGGAGGAGAGGAACCAGUGGAAGAAGGCGAGGGUUUGGGGGAAGGGGACGCCAUUGCGGAGGGAGGAGACGCGGCGGAUGAGGGCGAGGGCGAGGGAGGGGGNUGUGAGAGGGAGAAGAGAGGGAGAUGUCAUGGGUCAUGAGCUUCUUAUUUGAGUUGUUGUUGUUGUUGUUGGUAAUGGUGGUGGUGGUGGUGGUGGUGGUGGUGGUGGAGAAGAGGAAGGAGAAGGGAGGAGGAAGGAAAAGGGGUUUUGGUUUGAGGAGAAACGCCAUGGAUGGAGGAGAGUGAGGUGGUUGAGGUGGCCGAGGAGGAGGGAGGGGGUUAGGGUUUAGGGCUCAGUGGGUUGAGCCGUAUAUGGGCGACCAAAUCACUAAUUUUGGUUCUAGUUUGGUUCGAUCUUGAUUAUAACUAGUUUGAUUUUAAUUUAAUUUUUUGAAAUUAAAAUUGUAGUUUGAUUUUUAUUUAAGAAUUAAAAAGAAUUAAUCCAAAUCAAAAAAAUCAGAAUAUGAGUAGAAUAUAAAAAUAAAAUAUAAGCUACUAGAUUUCUAAUAUCUGUUAAUUGUUGUAGUUAUAUUGGCUAAUAUAAAAUAUUAGCUAAUAUAAAUAUUAGCCAAUAUAACUACAACAAUUAACAGAUAUACGCUAAUAUAAAAUAUUAGCUUACUAUUUUCUUUCUUCUUUUUUCCUAGCAGGCUUAAUAUUUAAAUAAUUAUUAUAAUAUUAUUAGGAUUUUCUUCUUUUUCAAUUUUAUUAUUGUUUUAUAUAAGAUUAAACCACUGUUGAAAUCUCAUUACACUCUUGGGCUUCUUAAAAUUUCUAAAACUCAAAUAUAAGGAAGAGCAUUAAAUAUAGUAGAUCACUGUCACAAUAUCCUAUUUAGGAUUUUCUAUAAUAUUGUAAAUCACAUGGCAUCAUUAUUAUUAUUAUUAUUAUAUUCUAAACUUCAAACACCAUCGUUACUAACUCUAAGGGGGCGUUUGGAUCGACGAAUUUGUAGAUUCAACGUAAGUCAAGUGUAGUGGUGUUUGAGUUUUUCUGAAGUGUGAUUAUUUUUCUGUUGUUUGUUUUGACGUAAUUCGUACCACUGAAAGUUAAAUUCAAUCACUUCUGCUGUUUGUUUUGAUGUAACUUGGUGCUGGUAAAAUUAGUUUUUUGAGUUCCGUUGUUUGUUUUGAUGUAAGUAAGUGGAUCCCAUUAUCUCCUAAAUAUAGUAAUAAAUUUAUCACUAUAAAAUUUAACCUAUUAUAUAAUUAAAUUUUUUAUUAUUAUUUAAAGAUAAUCUUAAUUUAUUAUAAAUAAAGUAAUUCUAACCCAUUAUAAAGAAAGUAGAGUUUAGAUUUUACUGUUUAAUAAAUUGUUUAGAGAAGGUUGAGUGUGGUGGAAGUUGAGUUCGGUACUUUAGAGCCGGAAGUCGAGAGUAGAUGAAGUGGAGCUCUAACGUAACUUGAGUUAUAUUAUAUUUUUUACUUACACCAAAAUAAAUAACGGAAGUGAUGGAACUUAAGUUCCAUCACUCCACUUACACCAGAACAAACGGGCCCUAAAUCCUUCACUUCUAUACAUUCUAACACAUCAACAAUAUUUAUAU
Molecule: long non-coding RNA, 11924 nt
Filed under: Ananas comosus (pineapple)
Lineage: Eukaryota; Viridiplantae; Streptophyta; Magnoliopsida; Poales; Bromeliaceae
Description: long non-coding RNA (ACOM_LNC033797)
Source: RNAcentral